Molecule: ribosomal RNA, 841 nt
Filed under: Xanthoparmelia hypomelaena
Lineage: Eukaryota; Fungi; Ascomycota; Lecanoromycetes; Lecanorales; Parmeliaceae
Description: partial large subunit ribosomal RNA
Rfam family: Eukaryotic large subunit ribosomal RNA
Source: RNAcentral
CAGUAACGGCGAGUGAAGCGGCAACAGCUCAAAUUUGAAAUCUGGCUCCUUCGGGGUCCGAAUUGUAAUUUGUAGAGAGUGCUUCGGGCGAGACCGCGGUCUAAGUCCAUUGGAACAUGGUGUCAUAGAGGGUGAGAAUCCCGUAUGCGACCGUGGCUCGAGCCCAUGUGAAGCCUCUUCGACGAGUCGAGUUGUUUGGGAAUGCAGCUCAAAAUGGGUGGUAAAUUUCAUCUAAAGCUAAAUACUGGCUGGAGACCGAUAGCGCACAAGUAGAGUGAUCGAAAGAUGAAAAGCACUUUGGAAAGAGAGUCAAACAGUACGUGAAAUUGUUGAAAGGGAAGCGCUUGCAACCAGACCUGCCCGUAGGCGAUCAGCCGCUGUUCUCAGCGGUGUACUCGCUCUGCGAUCAGGCCAGCAUCGGUUUCGGCGGUCGGAUAAAGGCCUUGGGAAUGUAGCUUCCCUUCGGGGGAGUCUUAUAGCCCUCGGUGCAAUGCGGCCAGCCGGGACCGAGGACCGCGCUUCGGCUAGGAUGCUGGCGUAAUGGUUGUAAGCGACCCGUCUUGAAACACGGACCAAGGAGUCUAACAUCUAUGCGAGUGUUUGGGUUUCAAACCCAUGCGCGGAAUGAAAGUGAACGGAGGUGAGAACCCUUAAGGGCGCAUCAUCGACCGAUCCAGAUGUCUUCGGAUGGAUUUGAGUAUGAGCAUAGCUGUUGGGACCCGAAAGAUGGUGAACUAUGCCUGAAUAGGGUGAAGCCAGAGGAAACUCUGGUGGAGGCUCGCAGCGGUUUCUGACGUGCAAAUCGAUCGUCAAAUUUGGGUAUAGGGGCGAAAGACUAAUC